CCUACGGGAGGCAGCAGUGAGGAAUAUUGGUCAAUGGGCGUAAGCCUGAACCAGCCAAGUCGCGUGAGGGAUGAAGGCCCUAUGGAUCGUAAACCCCUUUUAUAAGGGUAUAAAGUGUGGGACGUGUCCCUUUUUGCAUUUACCUUAUGAAUAAGGAUCGGCUAAUUCCGUGCCAGCAGCCGCGGUAAUACGGAGGGUCCGAGCGUUAUCCGGAUUUAUUGGGUUUAAAGGGAGCGUAGGUGGAUUGUUAAGUCAGUUGUGAAAGUUUGCGGCUCAACCGUAAAAUUGCAGUUGAAACUGGCAGUCUUGAGUACAGUAGAGGUGGGCAGAAUUCGUGGUGUAGCGGUGAAAUGCUUAGAUAUCACGAAGAACUCCGAUUGCGAAGGCAGCUCACCGGACUGCAACUGACACUGAUGCUCGAAAGUGUGGGUAUCAAACAGGAUUAGAUACCCCUGUAGUC
RNAcentral lists this ribosomal RNA (460 nucleotides) under uncultured bacterium. RNAcentral describes it as "partial 16S ribosomal RNA". It matches the Rfam family "Bacterial small subunit ribosomal RNA", at positions 338 to 795 of the family's 1533-position model. The record is from RNAcentral.